GUAGGUGGCAAGCGUUGUCCGGAAUUAUUGGGCGUAAAGCGCGCGCAGGGCGGUCCUUUAAGUCUGCUGUGAAAGCCCACGGCUCAACCGUGGAGGGUCAUUGGAAACUGGGGGACUUGAGUACAGAAGAGGAAAGCGGAAUUCCAAGUGUAGCGGUGAAAUGCGUAGAGAUUUGGAGGAACACCAGUGGCGAAGGCGGCUUUCUGGUCUGUAACUGACGCUGAGGCGCGAAAGCGUGGGGAGCAAACAGGAUUAGAUACCCUGGUAGUCCACGCCGUAAACGAUGAGUGCUAAGUGUUAGGGGGUUUCCGCCCCUUAGUGCUGCAGCUAACGCAUUAAGCACUCCGCCUGGGGAGUACGGCCGCAAGGCUA
This 372-nucleotide ribosomal RNA is filed under the name uncultured organism. RNAcentral describes it as "partial 16S ribosomal RNA". It matches the Rfam family "Bacterial small subunit ribosomal RNA", at positions 527 to 896 of the family's 1533-position model. The record is from RNAcentral.